CAUGUAUACCAAUUCCGACACAAUUGUAGUCUUUAUCAACAUUGCUGCAAAACAACAAACUUGAUGACUUUUUGAAUGUUAUUCCAAAUUUGAAAGCAAAGACAAUCUUAUACUUUUCAAGGUAUUUUAUGCGUCAACCUACUCCAAAAUUGAGUUUCCAACGGCACAAUUUUAAGGUCAAACGAAUCCUAUAUAAAGAAGGAUACGUCUACAAUUGAAGUAUUUCACUCAGAGAAGAAAACUUGAAUUGAACAAUAACGAUAAGAAUGAAUGACUUAAAAGAGAAAACUCUGGUUAUCAGGAAUGU
RNAcentral lists this long non-coding RNA (307 nucleotides) under Elaeis guineensis (African oil palm). RNAcentral describes it as "long non-coding RNA (EGUI_LNC010885)". The record is from RNAcentral. Lineage: Eukaryota; Viridiplantae; Streptophyta; Magnoliopsida; Arecales; Arecaceae.